This 329-nucleotide unclassified non-coding RNA is filed under the name soil metagenome. Its description in RNAcentral is "partial contains 5.8S ribosomal RNA, internal transcribed spacer 2, and large subunit ribosomal RNA". The stretch from base 1 to 120 matches the Rfam family "5.8S ribosomal RNA", at positions 35 to 154 of the family's 154-position model. The record is from RNAcentral.
GAUGAAGAACGUAGCGAAAUGCGAUACGUAGUGUGAAUUGCAGAAUUCAGUGAAUCAUCGAAUCUUUGAACGCACAUUGCGCCCUCUGGUAUUCCGGGGGGCAUGCCUGUUCGAGCGUCAUUAUAACCACUCAAGCUCUCGCUUGGUAUUGGGGUUCGCGGUUUCGCGGCCCCUAAAAUCAGUGGCGGUGCCUGUCGGCUCUACGCGUAGUAAUACUUCUCGCGAUUGAGUUCGAUAGGUCUACUUGCCAGUAACCCCCAAUUUUUACAGGUUGACCUCGGAUCAGGUAGGGAUACCCGCUGAACUUAAGCAUAUCAAUAAGCGGAGGA